GAUGAAUAACGUAGCGAAAUGCGAUACUUGGUGUGAAUUGCAGAAUCCCGUGAACCAUCGAGUCUUUGAACGCAAGUUGCGCCCGAAGCCAUUAGGCCGAGGGCACGCCUGCCUGGGCGUCACACGUCGUUGCCCCCCCAUCUACUCCUUCGGGAUUGCGGGGGGCGGAUGAUGGCCUCCCGUGCGCCUCGCCGCGCGGUUGGCAUAAAUGCCAAGUCCUCGGCGACGCACGCCACGACAAUCGGUGGUUGCGAAACCUCGGUUGCCCGUCGUGUGCGGUCGUCGCGCAUCGAGGGCUCGAAAAAAUUGCCGGGUUCCGGCUCGGCUUUCAACGCGACCCCAGGUCAGGCGGGGUUACCCGCUGAAUUUAAGCAUAUCAAUAAGCGGAGGA
RNAcentral lists this unclassified non-coding RNA (391 nucleotides) under soil metagenome. RNAcentral's name for it is "partial contains 5.8S ribosomal RNA, internal transcribed spacer 2, and large subunit ribosomal RNA". The stretch from base 1 to 122 matches the Rfam family "5.8S ribosomal RNA", at positions 35 to 154 of the family's 154-position model. The record is from RNAcentral.